GACAUCGACGCCAGUUGGAGUAAUUAAGAUGCCUACACAAAAAGAGUGUGUGAUAUGCCAUAGUGCAAUUGGGGUGGCCAGCAAGACCUGCCAGCACUGUGGUGGCAAGCAGCCAUAUAAGGACAGGCUGGAGAGACAGAAGCAGAAAAUAACAGAGGACUGGAAAGAACGGCAGAAAAAAAAACUGCAGCAUCAACAAAGUCUACGAUGCAACUAAUUUAUUGCUCCACAAAUGGGAGCUUUUAGAGAGGCAUCCCGUCCUCCUCCUCGCCAGGAGAACCUCCAGUGGCUUUGUAGCAGAGUGCCUUUGUCCUUGGCCAUUGGACACAGAGGAUGCAAGGGAUGCACUUGUCACAAUAAAGAAGAUUUAUGAGAGUCUUCUCAAUGUGACGGUGACAACCAGGACGAUGGAGACUCCAGCACAGACCAGUGAUGGUCCUGCUACAGGCAGCUCCUUUACCCCACCCGUGUCCACCCCACCUGUGUCCAUCCCGCCUGUGUCCACCCCCUGUGCUCCUCCUGUGUUCAACCUGCCUGUGUCCACCCUGCCUGUGUCCAUCCCGCCUGUGUCCACCCCCUGUGCUCCUCCUGUGUCCAC
Molecule: long non-coding RNA, 598 nt
Organism: Melanotaenia boesemani (Boeseman's rainbowfish)
Lineage: Eukaryota; Metazoa; Chordata; Actinopteri; Atheriniformes; Melanotaeniidae
Exons: 4
Source: RefSeq, a predicted model, not a curated record